This 363-nucleotide transfer RNA is filed under the name uncultured Microcystis sp. RNAcentral describes it as "partial 16S-23S ribosomal RNA intergenic spacer". The stretch from base 135 to 208 matches the Rfam family "tRNA". Lineage: Bacteria; Bacillati; Cyanobacteriota; Cyanophyceae; Chroococcales; Microcystaceae. The record is from RNAcentral.
AAGGGAGACCUAAUUCAGGUAGGAGACGAAAAAAAAGUAGUCGCUACCAAGAAUCAAUCCCAAAAGGUCGGAGCGAGGCGAAAUUGGCUUUCAAACUAGGUUCUGGGUUCACACAAGACCUGAAUCAGGAACAAGGGCUAUUAGCUCAGGUGGUUAGAGCGCACCCCUGAUAGGGGUGAGGUCCCUGGUUCGAGUCCAGGAUGGCCCACCUGUACAGGUGGCAAAAAGAAAGAAAAGAAGCGAGGAAUCAGCACCUUAUCUUACUGACAUAGUAAGAGAGAAUGCUGGCUCUGAGUAAAGAGUCCAGAGGAACCUUGAAAACUGCAUAGAGCUAGGUGAAAAAGCCAAAAAAGAAGACCGCAA